Molecule: unclassified non-coding RNA, 1999 nt
Filed under: Hevea brasiliensis (rubber tree)
Lineage: Eukaryota; Viridiplantae; Streptophyta; Magnoliopsida; Malpighiales; Euphorbiaceae
Source: RNAcentral
GGAAAUUUCAAACUUCUACUAAUAUAAAAUCUAUUACACAAAUUGUCAGUUUAAUGUGCUAUUAAAAUGAUCCAUAAUUAUGAUUCCAAAAUGCUAAUAGCACAAUUGUUACAUAAAUUCUUAGGAUGAAGGACUAAUAUUCAAGGUAAAGCAGGAGAAGAGGAGAGGGACAAGAGGACAUAAAAAAUACUCAAACUACAUUGUGCAUUUUGGGAACUAAGUAAAUUGUGGAUCUUAAACCUUUAGAUACAAGAAAACCCAAUAAAUUGUGCAUCUUAAUCCUAAGAAAACUCAGUGCCGGGUGCUUUUCAUUUCAACUUCAACGUUGCUGAUGAAAAGCUUGAGUACAGAGACUAACACUGUUUCCCUAUUUGUUCACUUGUGAGACCAAUUCAACCAUGUAUUUUGGCCUUUGUCAUUCUUCAACAGCUUCACCACUGCUGUACUUGAAAAACUUCUUUGACUUGCAAAACUUCAUAAGGAAAUACCAUCCAAUGGCUCCCACAGUCAUCAAGCCACUCACCAAAUAAACAAUCUUAGUAGCAAUAAGCAUUAUCAGGACCAAAAACCCAGAUGGUAUCAAGCACAUUAUCACCAACCCUGGUAGCCUCAUUGGAAUCUUGUAAGGUCUCUUCAAUUCUGGCAACUUUUUUCUCAACCAAAUAAAAGAGGCAAAUUCCAGCAACAUUCCUAAACUAUACAAGAAAUUAGCUGAUGAAAUUAUAUCAGUAAAAUUCAUGUAUGAUACCCCAAUUGUGAUCAAAGUUGAAAGCAAAAUCCCUACCCAAGGAGUAUCAAACCAUUUAGACCUUUUAGCAAAGAAGGUAGGCACAAAUCCUAAAUCAGCCAUACCAAGAAGCUGGUAGGUGUAGCAGCUCAAUUGAGCCUCAUACAUACCUAUAGCAGAUAAUACAGCACCAAUUUCAAUCCAAUAUUUGAGCCAUGUCCCUGCAAUCAUCUCUGCUGCAGUGGCAUGGAAUCCUGACUCCCAUUCACUUUGAUUCACGGAAAGAGCACCAGUCACCGCAAAGAGAGGAAUCAAAUAAGACACAAAAAUGAAUAUCACAGCCACAAACAGAGCCAAAGGGUAUGUUUUCUGAGGUUUAUCCACUUCUCCAGCUAGAGUACUGACAUUAUCAAAGAAAUUGAAGUUCCAAAAAAGGGUAUUGAAGAACAAAGUCCAAUCUUUCUUUACACCUUUCUGUCCUAAACUGAUCCAUCUAUGGGGAUGAAUCUUGGGGAUUGCAAUGAGAGACAUGAUUAUGAAAGGAGAAAGAGAAACUAUACCAAGCACAACAGCAACAUAGCCAACUAUGGUUAAUCCAGUAUAGUUGACAAAAGAUAGAAUAAGUGUCGAAAUCAAAAUGGCAAUCUUUCGAGGCCAACCUGAAUCCAAUACAGGAAGUACCUUUUUCAUAUAAUCAAUGCAAAGGACUGGAAAGGCAGCGAUAUUAAUGACACCACUCAGGAAUUUCCACGACCCCAUCAAGGAUCCAAAAAAGGGGCCAAAAGCACGAUCAGCCCAUAUAACAAAUCCCCCAUUUCCAGGAUAGGCUGUGGAAAGCUCAGCUGUAAUCAAAGCCUCAGGAAUACUCCAUAUGAAAGGAAAUAUCAAGAAACCAAGAAGAGCAUAGAGAGGUCCUGCAGCCUGGACAGCAGGUUCUUCACCAUAAGGACCUCCAGCAACUUCAAAAUAGAUUAAGAACACGAGAGGGACGAGGGUAAGUUUCUUUGGUAAUUUGGUGGUGGUGGUUGCGGUGGUGAUAGGGAGUUCCUCAGGCAUAAUAUUUGGCGAUUUUGGUGGAGUUUGCAUGGUGGGUUCUGGCUUUGGAGUCUUAUCUUGUGGAAAGGAUGCUCAGAAGCUGUGUGAUUGGAUUUCUGCUCGCAUAAAUUGGAAAACGAUUACUAAUGCGUUUCUACGGAUUCAUAUAAAGAAAGUGAAGCAUGAGAGAGAAUGGAGGCUGAGCCAUUAGGGUUGUAGAUAAGGGAGACACGCAGC